GACGAACGCUAGCUACAGGCUUAACACAUGCAAGUCGAGGGGUAACGAGAGGGAAGCUUGCUUUCCUUGUCGACGACCGGCGCACGGGUGAGUAACGCGUAUCCAACCUGCCCCCAACUAAGGAAUAACCUUGCGAAAGUAAGACUAAUACCUUAUAAUUUCCUCAGAUGACAUCUGACGAGGAAUAAAGAUUUAUCGGUUGUGGAUGGGGAUGCGUCUGAUUAGCUUGUUGGCGGGGUAACGGCCCACCAAGGCAACGAUCAGUAGGGGUUCUGAGAGGAAGGUCCCCCACAUUGGAACUGAGAAACGGUCCAAACUCCUACGGGAGGCAGCAGUGAGGAAUAUUGGUCAAUGGGCGGAAGCCUGAACCAGCCAAGUAGCGUUCAGGAUGACGGCCCUAUGGGUUGUAAACUGCUUUUAUACAGGAAUAAAGUUAGCCACGUGUGGUUAUUUGUAGGUACUGUAUGAAUAAGGACCGGCUAAUUCCGUGCCAGCCGCCGCCGUAA
Molecule: ribosomal RNA, 506 nt
Filed under: uncultured bacterium
Lineage: Bacteria
Description: partial 16S ribosomal RNA
Rfam family: Bacterial small subunit ribosomal RNA
Source: RNAcentral